AAAACAAACAGGUGGACCAUUGUAAAUUUUCCUUAAAUAAAUAAAGAAACAAUGUGAGCGUAAUAUUGCCAUUAACACAUGACAUUGGACAUCCCUGUUUGAGAGCAAUUUGAGAAUCUGUGAGAAUUAAAGACAAUUCCUUUAAUACCUGCAAAUUUUACAUCGUUUUUACUUCUUCUUUUAUGAACUGGUAAUGAGCCCCCAGAUUCUAUUCAUAAGAGUUUGCUAGAAGAUCAUGGAGUCUCUCUAAAUACUAAUUCUCAUGACUCUUAUAUUCUUUUAUGUAGCUUCUCUUUUUUCCCUUAAAUAAAAUUUCGUAUACUGCUUUUCCUUAAACAUUAUACUAUGAUCUUCUAAUGCUAUAAUUAAAAAUCUAUUUAGGACUUGGGCCUUCUAACUCUAUUUAUGACGGGCAUUCAAAUCGGUUUGACUCGGAUUAAAUAGAAUUCGACAUUAACUUCAGUUUCGAUUCAGUUUGGGUUGAAGUUUUAAAUCCAAACACGGAUUGGGUUAACUGAAAAAUUAAAACACAUAUCCAUAUAAUCUAAUACAUAAAGCCCCAACUCCCAAACACACAUUUCUCAGCUGCCUCCUCGCCACUUUUCUUCCGUCACUGCCAAAUAUCUUCUUCUUUUCUUCUUCUUUUUUUUUUUUCCCUACUGCUGCUAAACUUGUUUUUCUUCUUCUUUUAUUCUACCACAACCAGAUAUUUCUUCUUCUUCCUCUUAUUCUUUUCUGAUCUCCCAUUAAUUAAUUGUGAGUAAUUUCUUUUUUAAUUGUUAUUUCAUUGUUUAAUUUUUUUGUUAAUUGUUAAUUUUUUUUGUUAGUUGUUAAACAUAAAAUUGUAUAUGUUAAUUAUUUUGUUUUUGAAUGAGAUUAUGAGAAUUGAACGGAAAUAAAAUUAGGACUUCUAAUCUAAAUUGAGCCCAAAUUUAUUACCCAAACCGAAUUAAAUUCAAUUUAGUUCAGGUUUAUAGUUCAAAUCUAAUUGUGUUUAAUUCUCGAAACCGAAACUUGAACAACCUGAAUCAAAAUCCAAUUUACCCGCGUCUAACUCUAUUAACAUACGACUCAAUGUAGUUUGAUAAGUAUCAGGGCCUUACUAAGUUACAUUAUAUGUUACUUGCGUUAAUUCAAAAUCAAAUUUUUUAUAUAAUUGAGUUGUUGUCUGUCAAAAGACUAAUGCUCAUGGGAAGCUACUUUUGGGUCAACUAGAAGUUACAUUAAGUGCCAAAUUUCAGCAUAAAUUGUAUUCACUGAGGCUAGAUCUUACAUUUUAAUAAGUAUUGCAUAUUAAUGUUAAAAAGUAAUGAUACAAUUAUAUAUAUAUAUCUGAUAUAACAUCAAAAGGGAAGGCAAAAACCCAGUCAAUCUCGAGUAUGGCAAUGGUCGGUUCCGUCCGCAGCAUGUAUUUUGAACACUUUACACUCGAGCCAAUCUUUUUUAUUUGGAAUUUAAAAAAAUAUAGAUUUUAUGUUUUAUAAAUUUAUAUAUGUAUAUUUCUAAUUUAUUUUAUGAUUUUAUGAUUUUUGAAUUACUAAAAUUGGGCUCCUAAAAAUGAACUUUAAAUAUUUAUAAUUUCAAAUAUAUAUAAUAGGUGGACCAAAUAAAUAUAAUUAUUUAAUAUUUUUCAUAAAGUCUGGAUUCCUAGUUGAACCUCAAGCUUAUCAAGUGAAGCCUGGGUUUGGUCUGGUCUCAUUCUCGAUCAUCACCCAGGUCCGGGCUAAUAGAUAUUUUUGACAUCACUAAAUCACAUGAGUUCUUGAAUGAAGAUAUUAUUUGACUCACAUGAUUUAUUUUUAUUUAAUUUUUUAUUCAACCAAUCAUAUAAUGUGACAUCAAUUUGUACAAGAAUUUUUAAAUGUUAUAUUACUUUAAUACUAAAUAGAAAUAUAGUAUUCUAUGAUAGAAAUAGGAUAUAGUCAUUCUUGACUUGAAAAUACUUUAGUAGAAAAGAAUAUUCAUCUUAAUAUUUUCUUAUAAAUAAAGGUGACUUAUUUAACAUUUUAAAUUCUUUGUAUCCAUUAACUACGGCGUAUAAUAAUACAACUACGGAAAUAUGUUAAUUUUGAUUAGGGCAGUCCUUUUGUUCUUUGCCAUUUUUUCAACAUAAGCUUUGUUGUUUGUUGUGUUUGCUACUGCUAUCUCUAGAGCAAUUCUUGCCAGAGUUUCCAGGUCUGAUAUUGAUGGAAUUCGGGGAUUGCGAUCCAGAGCUGAGACACAGUCUAUAUAAUUUUGGAUUUGUCUGCGAACACAAUCAACUAAUUUUGAUGCUGAUGAUUUCAGAAUUGUGACAUUUGUUGAGGAAAGGUAAUGAAGAAUUAAGAAGAAAGAAAUGGCUCCCGCUAGUUGCUUCAUGACAGCAUUACUGAAGGAAUCCAUUGCUAGUAAUUAAAAGUUAGCGUUUUUCUUUCUGUGAAGUUUAUACGAUUGGAUGAUCAUUACGAGGAUGAUUUACAGCUAAUGUUUUGCUAUUUUUGGGUGUCUUGAAAGAUGAAAAGGGAAUCCAAUGUCAUCCAAUAUCAUGACUCCGUACGAUUUACAACUAGGUCAUUAACACUUCAUAAACGUAUCAUUGAAUUUAAACUUCAAUUUAUAAGUUCUUAAGAGAAAAAAAAUCCACAAGAAGAUUUUUUUUAAUGAGAUUUUAUUUUUUAUUUAAAAAGUUACGUCAGCAUUGAAGGUUUCAAAAAACUCUUCAAAUAAAAUGAUAUUUCUCCCUUUUUCAAUAUUAAAGAGUAAACACUUCCUCUUCAAUUAUUGUUAUAUUAUUUUUGUAUAUCAUCGUUAUGAAAAACAGAGAAGUGCUAUUAUUAUUAUUUUUGUAGAAAAAGUUUUGAUUAAAAUAAUAUAAGUUUGUUUUUAUAUGAAGAGAGUUAUUUUUCUAUUUGCCAAUUGCUAUAUAGGUAAGCAAAUAAGCAUUAACAGUCAAAUUAAAAGAGUUUUGUUAAUGAUAUUCUAAUAUUUUUCAACACUCACUUUUUAGUUAAAAUAAUUAUCAAAUUAUUGUGUCAAAAGAAAUUAUAAAUUAUAACUUAUUAUUUUAAAGGUGAGGCUAUUUGAACCUGCCAAAUUAUUUUCUGGACCCGCUUUUACAUUAAUUUUUAUAUUACUAAAUUAUCCAUAAGGUAAUUACAAUUAAAGACAAACUAAUGUUUAUAAAUAAAAUUUUUUACUCUUUAAACCCAGUUAAUCUGUAUUCAUUACAUGUAAAAUCUUUUUUUGCCACCCAUUAACAUCAAUCAUAACUUUUACACUACGUUACUCUUGUAAAAUUAUCAAUCAAAUGUCAUGUUACGCAAUUUUUGUUUUAGCAAAUUCAGAAAAUGAAAACUUGUUCUUAUUUUUUUGAAAGCAAUUAUGGAGUCAGAGCACAGAUUUGAAUUUAAAAAAUCGAAGAGUAUCAACAAUCACAUAUGAACACAAAUUCAUAAUCUUUCAAUAAACAGGUAAUUAUAAUGUAUUUUGAUUUAAUUCCACUCUUGUCUGUCAACCAAAAUACCCAAGCAAUGAAGCACUUUAAAGUUUGUAUUUUUUUUAAAUACUGAUUACACAUUAGAUUAUUGUAUUACAUAGUAAUUUACAACUGCUAUAACAGUAGAUCAUUAUAUUAAUAUUUACAAUCAGAUAUAUAAUUAGAACUUACAUUAUUACAUUAAAUUUUAUGAAGUACAUAUCUAGAUAAAUAACACUCACAAAUGAGAAAUGUCUCUACUCCACUCACAUUUCGCAAUGGAGAAAUACUUGCAAAUAACUCCACACAAUCAUGCAUAAUACUUAAUUGAGGGAGUUUGAUGACUCGAAACUCUACCCUCACAAUCAUACUUAACUGUGAGAGUAGAGAUUCACCGCUAAGCCAAAGACCCAUUGAUACUUUGAAGUCUGCAUUGAGUAACAUAAAUUUUUUUUUUUUCAUGUUACAAUAGACAUAAUUUUAUAUUGAUCUUAAACCAUCCAGUUAUAGCAUAAUUAAAAAAAAAAAUCUUAUUCCCUUAACAUGGAACUAUGAUCUCCUAGGGUAAUAGACAAAAGAUAAGGCAAAGAAAUGAUAGUAAGAUGAAAACAGUUGGUGGGUGCAGAUAAUAAUUUAACCAAAAAAAGUGAUAAAUAAAAUGAGAGGAUAUGUAACAAUUGGACAUUGGAGGUUAUUUUUGGGUUUAUGGAGGGUUUGGAGAGUAAAAUUAAAAAUUCAGUGCCUUUAAUUUCAAUAAUGUAUAAAUUAAGAAAAUGGGUCUUACGAUAAAAACUGCCUGUUCAAAUAGUAUGGCCUUCAUUUUGAUUCACUAAUUUCAAAAAUUACAAAUGUAUCUCUUUUGUAACAAUAGUCAAAACUUAAACUAGUUUAUCUCUACUUCAUUUUUUUCCUUAAAUCAACUCUUAUCUUUUUCUUAGUCUUAACUAUAACAUUUAUCAAUUUUUACCUAUUAUUAUCAUUUAGAGAAUUAGAGUUAGUGGUUUUGAGAUUUGACUAAAAAAAGUCUAAUAAAUUCAAAGUGGCACAUAAACCUUUAAUGUUUAUUUUUACAUUAUGGGUAUUGAUGAUUUAAUAUUGUUUAGAUAAAAUAGGGUUGGAUUUAUUAAUUUUUGAACAAUUUCAUUUGUUAAAUACAAUAUUUACUUAAUGUAUCAUGACAAAUUUUGAUAUGAGAAGAGAUAGAGGGAGACAUAAUAAGGUCAAAUAAAUAAUUAAUUAAAUUAUAUUUCCACAAUAAAAUUUCAAUUAAAAAAAAGUGCAUUGAGGAAUUUAGUAGGUUCAAAUAGCAUCACCAGUUUAAUUAAUCAAGUUGAAAAUAGUUGAUAACCCCAUAAAUGUAGCUUCAAGUAACAAUAUGGUAAAAAGUAAUUUUCAACGAGUCAGAUUUCUUGUCCCAUCUUUGAUUAAAAAGAAAAAAAUUAAAAUUGAGAUAGUCGGUAUUAGGUAAAGAUGAAUUUGAUACAAGCAAUUAAAUUUGUGGAUUUUAAAAUUAUUUUUUUUGAAAUGGAAGGGCUUAUUUGAUAUUUUCCCAAGGAUUAUUAUUAGAGGUGUAAAAAAUACCCGCCCAAUCCGUACCCAAACCGAACUUGGGCGAUGUGAGCUAGAGAUGAAGUUGGGCCAGUCAUGAACAUCAAUUGAUAAACCUGAGACCUCGCCCGGAACUCAAAUUUUAUUGAAAAAUAUUAUAAAAUAUG
Molecule: long non-coding RNA, 5169 nt
Filed under: Citrus x clementina
Lineage: Eukaryota; Viridiplantae; Streptophyta; Magnoliopsida; Sapindales; Rutaceae
Description: Citrus clementina (C. clementina) long non-coding RNA (CCLE_LNC000718)
Source: RNAcentral